This 315-nucleotide unclassified non-coding RNA is filed under the name Basidiomycota sp. Its description in RNAcentral is "partial contains small subunit ribosomal RNA, internal transcribed spacer 1, and 5.8S ribosomal RNA". The stretch from base 1 to 47 matches the Rfam family "Eukaryotic small subunit ribosomal RNA", at positions 1785 to 1831 of the family's 1831-position model. The record is from RNAcentral. Lineage: Eukaryota; Fungi; Basidiomycota.
AAAGUCGUAACAAGGUUUCCGUAGGUGAACCUGCGGAAGGAUCAUUAAUGAAUAAAUUUUGUCGGGUUGUUGCUGGCCUCUAGGGGCAUGUGCACGCCUGACUCAAUUUUAUACCACCUGUGCACCUUUCAUAGACCUGGAUGUCUCUCGAGGAAACUCGGAUUUGAGGAUUGCCGCUGUCACAAGACUCGGCUUUUCUUUCAUUUCCGGUCUAUGUUUUUCAUAUACUCUUAAUGCAUGACCCUAGAAUGUAAUUCAUGGGCUUUAUUGCCUAUAAAUCUAAUACAACUUUCAACAACGGAUCUCUUGGCUCUC